CCCCCGCUCCUUACAAAGGCGCCGCGGGAGGGGAGCGGCGCGCUGCGGCGCGGCGGGCUCGCAGCCAUGUCCCUGAGGAGGCCUCUGGGCGCCGGCAAGCGGCGCAGCACCGACUCGGGCGUGGAGCCCGACCGCGGGGCGCUCUCCCGGGAGAAGAAGGAGCAGCGCAUCGCGCUCUUCCUCAGCGACUUCGACCAGCGGGCGAAGGAAAACAUCCAGGAAAUGAAGAAAGAACUCGAUUCGCUUUUGCAAACAGCCGAGAAAGCAUUUACAGUGGAGUUACUGAAGAUGCCAAUUGCCAUCAGAAAAAUGAAAAGAAAAGACUUGCUUAAUUUGCAAGGACGUGAGGAAGUGGCUCUUGCUGCAGCAGUGACUGACUGCUCUCUAGAAGACAUACCAAAUCCAAAACUGGUGAGGACCAACAGCAAAAAAGUUAAGGUAACUACAAUUGUUGAGUAUGAAGAUGCCAAGCAUGUUUCUGCAAAGAAAAUAUCUAAAAAAGUAUCCAAAACAAAGUCGUUGGUUUCAUUGGCCUCUGGCUUAAAUAGCAAACUGAACCCUCUUCCUAGGUCUGCUCACUCCUCUCCAAGUGUGAGUGAGGCUGUUAAGGCUCUUGCCUCUGACUGCAGUGCCAUAAAUUACAAAGCCAUGUCAAAGGUAUCUAAAAGUGCUAGACCACAACCUGGUGCCCCAAGAACUAUACCUGCCAGUGGAAGAGUUCAAGGCAUGUUACUAAGAAGUAAAUCGGUACCCCAAGAUAAAACUGUUCCAUUUGUAAACAUUCCUCUGGCUGAUGGACAGGUUUCUCUUCAUGUUUUAGACCCUCUGUACAGCUGCUGGAGAUCUCCAUAACAUUGAUGUGCAACUACUAAAUCAAGAUACAGUACAGCAUAUUCAUAACUUAGUGAGUGAGCUGACUGUACUAUGUGGAAAAGCAACAGUUAAACCAAGUUAAUGGCACUUCCAUAAAGGUCUGUCUCCUGACUACAGAAUAUUCGUAUGACAGCUGCCUCUUCUAUUUAGAGAAUUUCUAUAAUGUCUUAAUAAAGCUGUGUACUGCCCAAUAAAUGUUUUUAUAUAAAACUAUGAUAUGUAUACUAUCAAAAAUACUUCUCCCUUUGAAAGAUACAAAAGCAGAAGUACUUCCAUUUCUUAGACUUCAUAAAUGGUAAGUUAACGUCGUAAGCAGGGCUGCCUUACAUAAUUAUUUGUAACUGUGGAAUUACCUAAUGUCAUUCUUCCAUACAUAUUGUCUGUGUGACCAAAACAGAGAGCACUGGUCUUGUGCAUGCUUGGUCUUCCCUAGGGCCAGCUCCUGCUGAAGUCCACAUAUACAAAUUCUUGAAUAGCAUUUUAACCCAUAGAGCUUUAGUCCUGUAGUGGCAAGUAUGAAUCAGACACGAGACUGAACAAGCAGUAUUAUCUCCACAGUUGUCUUGUAGUGUAACAUUAGAAUAUGCAAUAUGGAUAAGCAUUAACUCUAUUUCCUCUGUUAAGUGGAGUCAUUUGGGAUAGUUUUGUCCUAGCACUGGAGUUUGUUAUAUAUUUCUUGAGUAAUUGGUAGGAAAGACUUUUGCCAUCUUUCCAGGUAC
RNA transcript from Rhea pennata, 1592 nucleotides. It is a transcript of the gene named borealin-2-like, with no coding region annotated. Lineage: Eukaryota; Metazoa; Chordata; Aves; Rheiformes; Rheidae. The transcript has 10 exons. The record is from RefSeq and is a predicted model, not a curated record.